RNAcentral lists this unclassified non-coding RNA (213 nucleotides) under fungal sp. RNAcentral's name for it is "partial internal transcribed spacer region". The stretch from base 1 to 46 matches the Rfam family "Eukaryotic small subunit ribosomal RNA", at positions 1786 to 1831 of the family's 1831-position model. Lineage: Eukaryota; Fungi. The record is from RNAcentral.
AAGUCGUAACAAGGUCUCCGUAGGUGAACCUGCGGAGGGAUCAUUACUGAGUUACCACUCUUAACCCUGUUUACAUAUCUGUUGCUUCGGAGGCGCCCCUCGGGAGGGGAUCUGCUUCGGCCGCCUCCAAAAGCAUUUUUUAAACUUUUAAACUUUAUUAUACUCUGAAAAGAAAACAAAAUCAAAACCUCAACAACGGAUCUCUUGGUUACA